AUAUUUUAACCCCAAAAUGAGGGAAAGAGUAGAGACUUCUAGAUCUUAAAGCAAAGGAAAACUAGUAGGAAAAUAAACAGAUAAAUCUUUGCCAGGUAUAAUUUUGAGAAGGUAUUAAUGUGUAGAAUAUAUAAAGAACUACACAAAUUAAACACACACACAAUAAAUGUGCUAAUGAAUUUAACAGAUUGUUCUCAAAAGAAGAGAUAUAAAUCCUUAGUCAUCAGAAAAAUACAAAUUCACGUGACUUUGGGAUUCUAAGUCCCUGAAGUCAGAAUAGCUAUCAUCAUGAAAAAAAAAAAUAACAAAUGUUGGCAAGAAUAUGGAUAAAGAGGAGGACCCAUGUACUGUCAGUGGGAGUGCAAAUUGGUGCAGCUACUAUCGAAAUCUCUGGAGGCUUUUUUUGGAGACCAAAGAUAGAGCUAACAUAUGUCUCAACUAUACCAGUCCUGAAUCCAUGGCCAAAGGACUCAUCUGUAUCCUACCUACUACAGAGAUCCUGCACAUCCAUGUUCAUUGCAUCUAUAGUCAUGAUAAGCAAAGAAAUGGAGUCAGGCUUAGAUGUCCUCCAACAGAUUAAAUGGAAAUGAAAAUAUGGUAUAUAUACCAUUCAUCAAUAAAGAAAAUGGAGGUUGAUCAUCAAAAGAGCCUAGGCUCUCACACCAAGAAGCGAUGAAGGAGAGUAAAUGAAGAGCUUACUUAAUUGAAUUGCAAAUGGACUUUUCAUUAGAUGUAAUAACUAAAAAUAGAAAAAUCAGUAAUAUCAAACGCUAAUGUUACCGGUAGCAUCAGUGUUCAUAUUAUGUUACCAAGUGGUAACUGUUUUACUUGUCAGUUAAAGGAAAACGAAGGACAUAUGCACAAUAAGGAGCUAUAACCAUUUUUAAAUUACAGAGUUGGCAUAUUAUUAUGUUUGAAGUAGAUGC
This 926-nucleotide long non-coding RNA is filed under the name Mus musculus (house mouse). RNAcentral's name for it is "long non-coding RNA chr18:5743035-5743961". Lineage: Eukaryota; Metazoa; Chordata; Mammalia; Rodentia; Muridae. The record is from RNAcentral.